Molecule: non-coding RNA, 96 nt
Filed under: Apocalathium aciculiferum
Lineage: Eukaryota; Dinophyceae; Thoracosphaerales; Thoracosphaeraceae
Source: RNAcentral
CGCAGCCGUCUUGGAUGCCUUCUCAGAUGAGAGCAUCGCGAGGAUAGACUGGAAUUUGUUGGGCGAGGUCUGCACAAAGGAGGUGUAUUCUUCCGA